This 352-nucleotide unclassified non-coding RNA is filed under the name soil metagenome. RNAcentral describes it as "partial contains 5.8S ribosomal RNA, internal transcribed spacer 2, and large subunit ribosomal RNA". The stretch from base 1 to 120 matches the Rfam family "5.8S ribosomal RNA", at positions 35 to 154 of the family's 154-position model. The record is from RNAcentral.
GAUGAAGAACGUAGCGAAAUGCGAUAAGUAAUGUGAAUUGCAGAACUCAGUGAAUCAUCGAAUCUUUGAACGCACAUUGCGCCCGCCAGUAUUCUGGCGGGCAUGCCUGUUCGAGCGUCAUUACAACCCUCAGGCCCCCGGGCCUGGCGUUGGGGAUCGGCGGAGCCCCCCGUGGGCACACGCCGUCCCCCAAAUGCAGUGGCGGUCCCGCCGCAGCUUCCAUCGCGUAGUAGCUAACACCUCGCGACUGGAGAGCGGCGCGGCCACGCCGUAAAACACCCAACUCUUCUGAAGUUGACCUCGAAUCAGGUAGGAAUACCCGCUGAACUUAAGCAUAUCAAUAAGCGGAGGA